UCAAGUUAUUAAGGGUGCAGGGCGGAUGCCUUGGCACUAGGAGCCGAUGAAGGACGUGAUAAGCUGCGAUAAGCUUCGGGGAGUUGCACGUAAACUUUGAUCCGAAGAUUUCCGAAUGAGGAAACUCACUUAGAGUAAUGUCUAAGUAUCAUUAAGUGAAUACAUAGCUUAAUGAGGGGAACUCAGGGAACUGAAACAUCUAAGUACCUGAAGGAAGAGAAAGAAAUUCGAUUCCGUAAGUAGCGGCGAGCGAACGCGGAUUAGCCCAAACCAAUAAAGUUUUCUUUAUUGGGGUUGCGGACAUAUCAUAACGAAGAGGUAUCGUAAUUGAAGAGGUUUGGAAAGACCCACCACAGAAGGUAAUAGUCCUGUAUGUUAAACGAGAAGACUUCAGAUAUGAUCCAGAGUACCACGGGACACGUGAAACCCUGUGGGAAGCAGGAGGGACCACCCUCCAAGGCUAAAUACUACCUAGUGACCGAUAGCGUAUAGUACCGUGAGGGAAAGGUGAAAAGAACCCCGGGAGGGGAGUGAAAUAGAACCUGAAACCCUGCACUUACAAGCUGUGGAAGCACAUUUCUUGUGUGACCGCGUACUUUUUGUAGAACGGGCCAACGAGUUACGUUAAGUAGCAAGGUUAAGCACUUAAGGUGCGGAGCCGUAGCGAAAGCGAGUUUUAACUGAGCGUUCAGUUACUUGACGUAGACCCGAAACCGGGCGACCUACCCAUGAGCAGGAUGAAGCGAAAGUAAAAUUUCGUGGAGGUCCGAACCCACGAGCGUUGAAAAGCUCGGGGAUGACUUGUGGGUAGCGGUGAAAUUCCAAUCGAGCCCGGAGAUAGCUGGUUCUCCCCGAAAUAGCUUUAGGGCUAGCCUCAAGGUGAGAGAUACGGAGGUAGAGCACUGAAUGUCCUAGGGGGUAUUGCACCUACCGAAGACUAUCAAACUCCGAAUGCCGUCAUCUUAUACUUGGGAGUCAGACUGUGGGUGAUAAGAUUCAUAGUCGAAAGGGCAACAGCCCAGAUCGUCAGCUAAGGUCCCUAAAUGUAAGUUAAGUGGUAAAGGAUGUGGGAUUGCACAGACAACCAGGAUGUUGGCUUAGAAGCAGCCACUCAUUCAAAGAGUGCGUAAUAGCUCACUGGUCGAGUGAUCCUGCGCCGAAGAUUUCCGGGGCUAAAACUUACUACCGAAGCUACGGCAUCANNNNNNNNNNAUGAUGGGUAGGGGAGCUUCCCAUACGGGUUGAAGCAUGACCGUAAGGACAUGUGGACAGUAUGGGAGUGAGAAUGUUGGCAUGAGUAGCGAGAUGUGGGUGAGAAUCCCACAGGCCGUAAACCCAAGGUUUCCAGGGGAAGGUUCGUCCGCCCUGGGUUAGUCGGGACCUAAGCUGAGGCCGAAAGGCGUAGGUGAUGGACAACAGGUUGAUAUUCCUGUACUACCGAUAACCGUUUGAGAGAAGGGAUGACACAGUAGGAUAAGCUAAGCACACUGUUGGUUAUGUGUGCCCAAGCAUUGAGGCAGUCAAAGCAGGCAAAUCCGCUUUGAUAAUGCUGGGAUGUGAUGGGGAGCGAAAUUUAGUAGCGAAGUAGCUGAUUUCACACUGUCAAGAAAAGUCUCUAUCGAGGUUAAAGGUACCCGUACCGCAAACCGACACAGGUGGGUGAGGAGAGUAUCCUAAGGCCAGCGAGAGAACUGUUGUUAAGGAACUCGGCAAAAUGACCCCGUAACUUAGGGAUAAGGGGUGCCACCAUCCGGUGGCCGCAGAGAAUAGGCCCAAGCGACUGUUUACCAAAAACAUAGGUUUCUGCUAAGUCGCAAGACGAUGUAUAGGAGCUGACGCCUGCCCGGUGCUGGAAGGUUAAGGGGAUCUGUUAGAGCAAUCGAAGCAGUGAACUUAAGCCCCAGUAAACGGCGGCCGUAACUAUAACGGUCCUAAGGUAGCGAAAUUCCUUGUCGGGUAAGUUCCGACCCGCACGAAAGGCGUAACGAUUUGGGCACUGUCUCAACAACAGACUCGGUGAAAUUGUAAUUCCGGUGAAGAUGCCGGAUACCUGCGACAGGACGGAAAGACCCCAUGGAGCUUUACUGUAGCUUGACAUUGGGUCUUGGUACUACAUGUACAGGAUAGGUGGGAGGCUUUGAAACCAGGACGCCAGUUUUGGCGGAGCCAUCCUUGGGAUACCACCCUUGUAGUACUGGGACUCUAACCAUAGGCCAUGAAUCUGGUCUUGGGACACUGUCAGGUGGGCAGUUUGACUGGGGCGGUCGCCUCCCAAAAGGUAACGGAGGCGCUCAAAGGUUCUCUCAGUACGGUCGGAAAUCGUACGUAGAGUGUAAAGGCAAAAGAGAGCUUGAUUGCAAGACAUACAGGUCGAGCAAGGAUGAAAAUCGGACUUAGUGAUCCGGUGGUUCUGCGUGGAAGGGCCAUCGCUCAACGGAUAAAAGCUACCCUGGGGAUAACAGGCUUAUCUCCCCCAAGAGUCCACAUCGACGGGGAGGUUUGGCACCUCGAUGUCGGCUCAUCACAUCCUGGGGCUGUAGUAGGUCCCAAGGGUUGGGCUGUUCGCCCAUUAAAGUGGUACGCGAGCUGGGUUCAGAACGUCGUGAGACAGUUCGGUCCCUAUCCGUCGCAGGCGUAGGAAAUUUGAGAAGACCUGUCCUUAGUACGAGAGGACCGGGAUGGACGUACCUCUGGUGUACCAGUUGUCCUGCCAAGGGCAUGGCUGGGUAGCUAUGUACGGAAUGGAUAAGCGCUGAAAGCAUCUAAGCGCGAAGCCAACUUCAAGAUAAGAUUUCCCACCGCAAGGGUAAGACCCCAGAAAGACUAUCUGGUUGAUAGGUCGAAGGUGUAAGUGCAGCAAUGUAUUUAGCUUAUCGAUACUAAUAGGUCGAGGACUUGACCAA
RNAcentral lists this ribosomal RNA (2903 nucleotides) under Clostridioides difficile. RNAcentral's name for it is "bacterial LSU rRNA". It matches the Rfam family "Bacterial large subunit ribosomal RNA". Lineage: Bacteria; Bacillati; Bacillota; Clostridia; Peptostreptococcales; Peptostreptococcaceae. The record is from RNAcentral.